Brachypodium distachyon (stiff brome) is the source of this 129-nucleotide non-coding RNA. The record is from Rfam. Lineage: Eukaryota; Viridiplantae; Streptophyta; Magnoliopsida; Poales; Poaceae.
UAAGUACUCCCUCCGUCCAACAAAAGUUGUCUUAAGUUUGUCAAAAUUCGGAUGUAUCUAGAUGUGAUUUAGUGUAUAGAUGCAUUCAAAUUUAUUCAAAGUUGAGACAUUGGACGGAGGGAGUAUAAA